Suricata suricatta (meerkat) is the source of this 542-nucleotide long non-coding RNA. RefSeq lists it as uncharacterized. The record is from RefSeq and is a predicted model, not a curated record. Lineage: Eukaryota; Metazoa; Chordata; Mammalia; Carnivora; Herpestidae. The transcript is spliced from 3 exons.
GAGCCAGGCCGGCGGGAGGGCCCUGGGCGGUGGCUGCGGGGGCGGGCGGCCAGGCCCGGCGCGGAGUCUCCGUGCCUUAUAAGGGCUGCAAGUCAGCCCAGCCAUCUGGAAUGUAGCGGGGACUAGGGGGCGGUGCUAGGACCUCCGCCCCGCGCCGGCCUCCGAGAGCGCCCCACCACUUGUGGAUUCCGGGGAAGGUAGUGGUGGGGGCGUGGAUUCCAGACCCCAGGGCCUAGGAGGGGAGGCCUGAAGCCUGAAUUUCUGGGGCCUUCAAAAUCCUAGGACACCAGCUUCCCAGCUUCGUCCUCGCCUUCGGGAGCACGGUGCUGGACCGCAGCCCACCGCCUGUUUGGCCCAAAGUUCGAAUUCUGUCUCCGGAAUGGAGGGGGCAGCACCCCCCACGCGGAGGAUGUUGACUCCAACCUGGCGCUGGAUUCCAGCCUCCAACAGGCUGCACCUCUGUUCUGUGAAGCUGGCUGCUUUGGGGUACAGGGACCCGCCUCCCGACUUCCUAAUAAACAGAGUUCCUUGAUCAGAAGCAA